Molecule: ribosomal RNA, 275 nt
Filed under: uncultured bacterium
Lineage: Bacteria
Description: partial 16S ribosomal RNA
Rfam family: Bacterial small subunit ribosomal RNA
Source: RNAcentral
ACUCCUACGGGAGGCAGCAGUGGGAAUAUUGCACAAUGGGCGCAAGCCUGAUGCAGCCAUGCCGCGUGUGUGAAGAAGGCCUUCGGGUUGUAAAGCACUUUCAGUUGUGAGGAAAGGUUAGUCGGCUAAUAUCGGCUAGCUGUGAUCGUUAUGCAACAGAAGAAGCACCGGCUAACUCCGUGCCAGCAGCCGCGGUAAUACGGAGGGUGCGAGCGUUAAUCGGAAUUACUGGGCGUAAAGCGCGUGUAGGUGGCUUGUUAAGCCAGAUGUGAAAG